CCACUGUACCCCUUCCCGUGCCAGAAGCCCCUGAGAAAGCUCUUCCUCUCAUCCCCGUUUUGCAGAUAAAGAAACAAGCAGGGAGUGCGGAAUGUUUUGCCAAAACCACCCAAGCAGCAGGCGCAGAGCUGAGACUCGCCCUGAGCCUGGACGCCGGUUCGGCUGCUUGCCGCCCUCCACAAAGCCUGCGUCUCCAGGAGGGCUGCGGCGGGUUCACAGAACAGCAGGGGGCCGUGCCCUUCUGGGGUGCUUGGCCAACAGCCUUGGAAAUGACAUCUCCCCCAGGAGCUUUGAUCUGGGUUCCAUGAUCCCCCUUCUCAGCGAGGGACACACAGAAGCUGGGACCUCCUGGGGCACCAUCCCCCAGGUCUGGCCAGCAGCCCUCCACCUGCAGCCAACCAUCACCCAGGCAGUGAGGCCCUCAGGGCGCUGGACAGAGCAGGUGGCCCCCACUGUGGUCCUGAGGCUCUGGGACAAUGAGGCUUCCUGCCCAGGCCACACCCAGCUUCUACUCCCUGGGAUCUCCUAGCCCCAGCCAGGCGCGGCGCGGAGGAGAGCCCGACCUUGGAUGCUAACAGCCGGGUGCAUGAAUCAGCUGAGCCCAGCUUGGAAAGCCAGCCCGACUCCUCGCACCCGCCACAGGGCCCCCUGCCUCUCUGUGCUCAACACGCUGUCCUGAGCAGAGGUGCUGAAGGGCAGCAAGGAAGUGGCAGGUCUCCCCCAAACCUCUGUGAUGACAGUGACCACAGAAUGCUCGUCUGUGCCACUCCACGCCUCAGACAACGCCUCACGCAGCCCUGCACAGGCAUGCGGCCGGGGACCUCGGCCCACAGGACCGUCUGUGAAGGUGACCCCAUGCAGCUGUGAGGUUGUGGGUGACAGCUGCACCUUGCAGGGCCAUAUCGUGUGCCCUCUGCAUCCCCUCCUUCAAAGGACCCUGCAGGACACCGAAGUUGAAAGACCCAGAGUCAGCAAUGCCACACCCACCAGGGAGCUGUUCUGGAAGUCACCCCGCAGGGCUGCCCUUAGGACCACCGCACCUCCAACUCCAACGGGGGACGCCUCUGAGGAGCGGAAGGAUGCACUUGGCUGGCGGGUCUGUGGGGUUCUGUGUGUCCUUUGGGGUCAGCCUAGCUGCUCUGGUUAGAGCCGUGGCCAGGCAGCAGAGGGUGGACCCUUUGCAGACUUGCUUGCUCUGCCCUCCAGAGCUGGAGGUGUGGAUGUGUGCCCGUGUGUGUGUGCCACAGGCCACAGAGCCACCAGUGCCUGGACCCCGUGGGCAAGGCUGCCCUCCCCUCCAGCAUGGCUUUCUCCCUGGCCUUGGACCAGGAGAGAGAUGCUCAUACCAGCCAGUAGCGCCCAAGUCCCAGCAGGAGAACAGUAACCGUUGAAGAUAUUCAGAUGGUGCUCAAUAAAUGCCCAUUUCCUCCCCCAG
Chinchilla lanigera (long-tailed chinchilla) is the source of this 1435-nucleotide long non-coding RNA. NCBI's taxonomy places the organism in Eukaryota, Metazoa, Chordata, Mammalia, Rodentia, Chinchillidae. The record is from Ensembl.